CUAAGACUCUUUAAAAGACCCCCAUGCAAACCUUCACCUGGACCCAUCACUCUAAGCAUGGAUCUUGGAAGAGGGUGGUGGGAGAAGGGACGGAACACAUUCUUGGGUCCCAGCCUGGUGACUCAAUGGGCUGACCCAUUUGAGCACACACCAGGCGAUAGUUCAGGGGCUGAGGGAUUCAGCCUACACAAGUUCCUAGCUUUACUCCCAGGCGAUGCAACAGAAGAA
This is a long non-coding RNA of Suncus etruscus (white-toothed pygmy shrew), 228 nucleotides long. RefSeq lists it as uncharacterized. The record is from RefSeq and is a predicted model, not a curated record. Lineage: Eukaryota; Metazoa; Chordata; Mammalia; Eulipotyphla; Soricidae. The transcript has 2 exons.